Cercocebus atys (sooty mangabey) is the source of this 132-nucleotide ribosomal RNA. Lineage: Eukaryota; Metazoa; Chordata; Mammalia; Primates; Cercopithecidae. The record is from Ensembl.
AUCCACGGCCAUACCACCCUGAACACACCUGAUCUCCUCUGAUUUUGGAAGCUGAGCAGGGCCAGGCCUGGUUAGUACUGGAUAGUAGAAAUGGUAGUGUCUCCUCAGAUUCAAAGAUGAGGGUCAUGGGGU